UAUGGCUCAGGAUGAACGCUGGCGGCGUGCCUAACACAUGCAAGUCGAGCGAGCGAGAGAUGUAACCUAGUGAUUCUCGAGCGAGUGGCGGACGGGUGAGUAACGCGUGGGUAACCUGCCUUACAGAGGGGGGAUAACAGUCUGAAAAGACUGCUAAUACCGCAUAAGCACACAGUACCGCAUGGUACAGGGUGAAAAGAUUUAUCACUGUAAGAUGGACCCGCGUCUGAUUAGCCAGUUGGCAGGGUAACGGCCUACCAAAGCGACGAUCAGUAGCCGACCUGAGAGGGUGAUCGGCCACAUUGGGACUGAGACACGGCCCAAACUCCUACGGGAGGCAGCAGUGGGGGAUAUUGCACAAUGGAGGGAACUCUGAUGCAAGCGACGCCGCGUGAGUGAAGAAGUAUUUCGGUAUGUAAAGCUCUAUCAGCAGGGAAGAUAAUGACAGUACCUGACCAAGAAGCCCCGGCUAACUACGUGCCAGCCGCCGC
Molecule: ribosomal RNA, 491 nt
Filed under: uncultured bacterium
Lineage: Bacteria
Description: bacterial SSU rRNA
Rfam family: Bacterial small subunit ribosomal RNA
Source: RNAcentral